RNAcentral lists this transfer RNA (90 nucleotides) under Clostridium sp. CAG:1024. It matches the Rfam family "tRNA". Rfam says of the family: Transfer RNA (tRNA) molecules are approximately 80 nucleotides in length. The record is from Rfam by way of RNAcentral. Lineage: Bacteria; Bacillati; Bacillota; Clostridia; Eubacteriales; Clostridiaceae.
GGAGAAGUACCCAAGUGGCUAUAAGGGGCUCCCCUGCUAAGGGAGUAGACUGGGUGUACCGGUGCGUGGGUUCAAAUCCCACCUUCUCCG